AUAAGUGUUAACACAAAAUCCUAUUUUAUAAUAAAUGUGAAUCUGAUGCUUCCCAUGGAAAUUACUCCUUGUCUUAUAUUCUUUUUUAUGUAAGCAUAUGUGGUUUACUGGCUCGUCAAUGUACCCCUUUCUUGCUUUUGAAGUGGAGUUACUAAAAGGGUUUGAUAGGACAAUUGUACAAAGUUAAAAGUAUUAACUUAAUAAGUGUUAACACAAAAUCCUAUUUUAUAAUAAAUGUGAAUCUGAUGCUUCCCAUGGAAAUUACUCCUUGUCUUAUAUUCUUUUUUAUGUAAGCAUAUGUGGUUUACUGGCUCGUCAAGAGAAGAAUAUAGUCAAAGAAAGGUAUAUGUUGAUUGUGAUUCUUAAGUGUUACUUGAGUCUAAUCUCAUUGUAACUUCUUCA
Molecule: long non-coding RNA, 402 nt
Filed under: Lactuca sativa (garden lettuce)
Lineage: Eukaryota; Viridiplantae; Streptophyta; Magnoliopsida; Asterales; Asteraceae
Description: long non-coding RNA (LSAT_LNC002225)
Source: RNAcentral